This 357-nucleotide ribosomal RNA is filed under the name uncultured Frankia sp. Its description in RNAcentral is "bacterial LSU rRNA". It matches the Rfam family "Bacterial large subunit ribosomal RNA", at positions 1405 to 1671 of the family's 2925-position model. Lineage: Bacteria; Bacillati; Actinomycetota; Actinomycetes; Frankiales; Frankiaceae. The record is from RNAcentral.
ACAGGCGUAGUCGAUGGACAACGGGUUGAUAUUCCCGUACCGGCGCUGACGCGCCCAUGCUGAACCUGGUUAUGCUAACCAUCUGAUCGGAUGUGUCUUUUCGGAGAUGUGUCUGGGAGGGUGGGAUCCUGGCUGGUAGUAGGCAAGCGAUGGGGUGACGCAGGAGGGUAGUCCAACCCAGGCGGUGGUUGUCCUGGGGCAAGGGUGUAGGACGGGGCGUAGGUAAAUCCGCGUUUCCAUGUGUCUGAGACCUGAUGCCGAGCCGAUUGUGGCGAAGUGGAUGAUCCCAUGCUGCCGAGAAAAGCCUCUAGCGAGUGUCAGAGCCGCCCGUACCCUAAACCGACACAGGUGGUCAGG